GACGAACGCUGGCGGCGUGCUUAACACAUGCAAGUCGAACGGAAAGGCCCUGCUUUUGUGGGGUUCUCGUGUGGCGAACGCGUGAGUAACACGCGAGUAACCUGCCCUUGACUUUGGGAUAACUUCAGGAAACUGGGGCUCAUAUCGGAUAUGAUCUCCUGCUGCAUGUUGGGGGUUGGAAAGUUUCGGCGGUUGGGGAUCGACUCGCUGCUUAUCAGCUUGUUGGUGGAGUAGUUGCUUACCAAGGCUUAGACGGGUAGCCGGCCUGAGAGGGUGACCGGGCACAAGGGGACUGAGAGACGGACCAGAAGCCUACGGGAGGCAGCAGGGGGGAAUAUGACACAAUGGGCGGAAGCCUGAUGCAGAAACGCCGGGUGCGGGAUGACGGCCUUCGGGUGGUAAACAGCUUUCGCCUGUGACGAAGCGUGAGUGACGGUAAUGGGUAAAGAAGCACCGGCUAACUACGUG
This 468-nucleotide ribosomal RNA is filed under the name uncultured bacterium. RNAcentral's name for it is "partial 16S ribosomal RNA". It matches the Rfam family "Bacterial small subunit ribosomal RNA", at positions 28 to 507 of the family's 1533-position model. The record is from RNAcentral.